Molecule: long non-coding RNA, 406 nt
Organism: Arabidopsis thaliana (thale cress)
Lineage: Eukaryota; Viridiplantae; Streptophyta; Magnoliopsida; Brassicales; Brassicaceae
Product: other RNA
Exons: 1
Source: RefSeq
AGAUGUAAUUUUUCCGGCCACCAACAACGAUUUAAAAUGGAAGAAAGAGAUGAGAGUUUGUUUCACACGGCCUAAUUAUAUGUCCACUGUAAAAAAAAAGAAAAAAAAAGACUCAUUACUAUUGUAAAUAGAAUUUUUUGUUAAAUUUAAAUUUAAUUGUGUUGCUUAAUUAUUUCUUAAACGUUGUAGGUUUGUCACUUACCUUUUCUGUUUCCCUCCAAAUCUCGUUCGACGAUGGGAAAUCCCUUAGCGUUAUUUCCCGAUAUUGAAGAAUAAAGUGGCAAGAUCUCAUCCCUCGACAAAAGGAUCAUAGGUUAUGUCAAUUAUUUACUACUACUAGACUAUUAGUGUAAACAAACAUGUCCCUGAGUUAUAUACAUGUACUGUCCCAUUAGUCCUAGUCAAA